ACAUUCUGAGGAAGUGGGUGUUAGAAUUUCAACAUACGAAUUUUGGAGUGGAGAACACAAUUUAAUGCAUAACAGCUCUUUUCAUCUCUCAGCAAACUAGGUCUCAGGUCUGAAGUCCACUGCGGUCAGCCUUCCCUGGUGGUGAGCUGCUGUCAGAACCUCCCCACUACUCCUCUGGGUGGCCCCAGUCUUGUGCCUAUUUCCCUCUCGUGGUCAUCAAGUCUCGCCCAGAUGGAGUCUCAGUUUUAUAAGGGGGAGUUUCCCUGCACAAGCUCUCUCUCUUUGUCUGCUGCCAUUCAUGUAAAAUGUGACUUGCUCCUCCUUGCCUUCCGUCAUGAUUGUGAUGCCUCCCAGCCAUGUGGAAAUGCCUUGGUUCAAAUCAACACUGAGAACAGAGAUGACAGAUGAAGGCAAGAACGCCUAACCGCAGAGGUUUCCUCCAGCAACAUUUUACCAACACAUUCUAAUCCUCAGCAAAGCCAGCAGAAUGAAGGUUUCUGAUCAGAAAAGCAACUAUAAAAUACUGCCUUAUUCACGUGGCCUGUUUAUUCCUGGAGUGUUUUUCAGAGGGAACUGGAUGUAACCUUUUAUAGGACCAGAAGGCAGGACUAUAAUUUCUAAAUUGUCAAUAAAUCCAUCUAGGAGCGAGUACUUUAUAACUCUGGAUCCUGAUGUGCUGUGAAGGAAAAAUACCUUGAGCCUUCAGAUGCCAGCAGAGCAAAGCCAGUCUAUGUUCUCAAGUCCACAGGCUCGCCCACAAGGUGGGACAGUACACCUUGUGUCCAAGAGUGAGAACCCAUGGGCGUGAGGGAGUCUUGGCAGGGGUGGCAUGGUGUGAAAUCUGUUUUUAUUUAAUUCAAGAUGGAGUCUGCUUAUAAUGCAAUUUUGAAUAACUUUUUAUUUAUUCCAUCUUAUUCUACAAAAUAUGUUUCUUAUGAAAAGAUAACAUAUCAAGGGAUAUAAGGUAAAACAAAAGCCUGGGUAAGAUUAGCAUGCAUAUAGAAACAGAACUAUCAUUUGACCCAGCAAUCCCAUUACUGGGUAUAUACCCAAAGGAAUAGAAAUCAUUCUACCAUAAAGACACAUACAUGCAUGUGUACAUUGCAGCACUAUUCGCAAGAGCAAAGACAUGGAAUCAACCUAAAUGCCCAUCAGGGACAACAGAUAGAAUUUUUUUAUUUAAAAAAAAAUUUUUUUUAUUUUUAUUUAUUUAUUUUUUUGAGACAGAGUCCCCCUCUGUCACCCAGGCUGGAGUGCAGUGGUGCGACCUCGGCUCACUGCAAGCUCCACCUCCCAGGUUCACACCAUUCUCCUGCCUCAGCCUCCUGAGUAGCUGGGAUUACAGGUACUUGGCAAUUUUUUGUAUGUUUAGUAGAGACGGGGUUUCGCCGUGCUAGCCAGGAUGGUCUCGAUCUCCUGACCUCGCGAUCUGCCUGCCUCGGCCUCCCAAAGUGCUGGGAUUACAGGCGUGAGCCACCACACCCGGCCAGAUAGAAUUUUUAAAAGUGUGGUACAUAUACACCAUGGAAUACUAUGUUGUUCUGUAUGGAAUACUAUGCAGCCAAAAAAGAAUGAGAUCAUGUCUUUUAUAGGAACAUGAAUGGAGCUGGAGGCCAUUAUCCUUAGAAAACGAAUACUGCAUGUUCUCACUUGUAAGUGGGAGCUAAGGCCGGUCUCAUUUGGGAGGCCGAGGCAGGCAGAUCACGAGGUCAGGAGAUCGCGAGACCAUCCUGGCUAACACGGUGAAACCCCGUCUCUAGUAAGAAAUACAAAAAAUUAGACGGUCCUGGUGGCGGUGCCUGUAGUGCCAGCUAUUCCAGAGGCUGAGGCAGGAGAAUGGCGUGAACCUGGGAGGUGGAGCCUGCAGUGAGCCGUGAUGGCGCCACUGCACUCCAGCCUGGGCGACAGAGGGAGACUCUGUUUCAAAAAAAUAAAAAAUAAAAAUAAGCGGGAGCUAAAAGAUGAGAACUCAUGGACACAAAGCGGGGAACAACAGACACUGGGACCUACUUGAGAGUGGAGGGUGGGAGGAGGGAGAGGAUCUGGAAAAAUAACUACUGGGUAGUAGGCUUAGCAUCUGGGUGACAAAAUAAUCUGUACACCAAACCCCCAUGACACAAGUUUACCUAUAUAACAAACCUGCACACGGACCUCUGAACUUAAAAUAAAAGUUAAAAAAAAAAAAAAAAAAAAAAGAUUAGCAAGCAGAAACGCCUAUACAGGGCACCAAAACUUCACUCCCCACUCAAACCUUGCUCCACACCUUCCCCAUCCACAUAAAGUGCACUUUAGCUCCCUGGAAUUCUUCCAGUUGCCAGAAUGCAGGUCUUCUCCCCAGUAGGUGGUUCGUCUUCAGGUCAGGAAUGCCAGCACCCCACCUCCUUUCCCUUAGGAAACUCACACCGCCUCAGGCCUGAAGGGGACUUCUUCAAAUGAAGUCCUGUCUUGUUAUGUUCUCAUAGCAAGGGCCCUUCCCUUCACAGCACUUUUCAGUUUGUGCAUUUAUCUGAGUAAUAAAUAAAUAUCUGUUACUUCCUCUAAACUGGAAGCUUCAUGAGGACAGGAUUCCUUCUCCUUUUGCUCCCCAUCAUAUCUCCAGCAGCCAGCUGGCACAUACGGGCACUCCGUACAUACUGGUUGAAUAAAUGAAGCCUCCCAGCAGUCAAAGAAAAGAGAAAGGCAUAAUAAGUUAAAAUAUUUAGAAAGUCAAUAUAUCAAGACAAACAGCUUUUCCUGCAUUCUGAGUUUUAAGCAAAAUUUCUCCCAUGGGUCCUUAAAAACAGAACAUUGUAUGAAUUUGUAGACAUCUUUUUGUUGAUGUAAUAAUACAUUUUAUUUUUUAUAUUUUUUUAUUUUUAUUUUUUGAGACAGAGUUUCACUCUUUUUUUUUUUUUUUUUUUUUUUUGAGACGGAGUCUCACUCUGUUACCCAGGCUGGAGUGCAGUGGUGUGAUCUCGGCUCACUGCAACCUCCAUCCCCCAGGUUCAAGUGAUUCUCCUGCCUCAGCCUCCUGAGUAGCUGGGAUUACAGGCGCCUGCCACCACACCCAGCAAAUUUUUUUAUUUUUAGUAGAGACAGGGUUUCAUCGUGUUGGCCAGGCAGGUCUCGAACUCCUGACCUCAGGUGAUCCACCCUCCUCGGCCUUCCAAAGUGCUGGGAUCAUAGGCGUGAGCCACCACGCCUGGCCUAAUAACACAUUUUAAACAGCUGCUUCUUAAAGCUUCCCUCAGUACAAAGAUUUUGAGGGAGGCCAAAUCACAAUUCAGUAGAAAUAAUUCUACAGGACCCAAAGCAACAUGAUCCAGGAACACAGUUCUCUCAGGGCUCUGGUUUCAUGCAAAGGUAAAACAAUGUGAGAGAAAUUGAGCAAGAGGGACUGCACAUCCUUCAGGCCCUGCUCUGCAAGUAUUUCUUCCAGUCAGGAUUAUGGUCUGAUUGGACAGCUGAGAGGUGAAAGUUACCGUCUCUGUGAACACAGAAAGGGCAGAUCCACAUUCAGUCUUUGAUCGUCAGCUGGAAAGGGAAUGAUAAUUCAAUUGACUAUUGUUCAGGAUGGAGCUUUCUUCAUUCUGCUGGAGAAAGAAUGAAUCCUUGGUCUCAUUCAUUUAAGGAUGACUGUGGUUCAUACUCCCCUCUUGUGGCCACUUCCAAGUAUACUGGCCUGUACCCAGGAGCCCAGUAAGGCAAAAGAGAUAUCAAAUUCCUUUAUAUAUGUUAGUUAACCUAGGAAUUGCUCAUUCUUUUUUUCCUUCUAGAAUGUCAGACCAGUUUUUAGAAAUUGGCAGAUGUUGAACAGCAUGUUAAAACGAGGGUCAAUUGAACAUAUUAAAUCUUCAUUGGUCAAUAUUUUUAAAUGUUUAAAAGGCUCAAUAUUUGGGCCAAAGAGGGUAGACAAAUCACGCAAAUGCAUGAGAAUCCUGAUGGUUCCUUACACAUUACCCUUCCUGAAGUAUGUUUGCCUUCUCUCAAUUUGGUUCUCUUCAAGUAACACAUCCAUAGAUUUGGAAUUUUGGGGGCAUGUGGGAAGGAAUGAUCUGGUGAAUGAAGCAAUCAAUAGAGUUGCAAAUGCUCAUUUUACAAAUAUUUAAGUACUUGCCACUGUGGGGAAUCAAGGUUAUACAAGAAAAUGAUCCCUGGUGGGGCACAAUGGUUCAUGUCUGUAAUCCCAGCACUUUGGGAGGCUCAGGGGGGAAGAUCACUUGAGCUCAGGAGUUUGAGACCAUCCUGAGCAACACAGGGAGACAUCCAUCCCUGGAAAAAAAAAAUUUUUUUUAAUUAGCCAGGCCUGGUGGCUUAAGCCUGUAGUCCCAGCUACUUGGAAGGCUGAGGUAGGAGGAUCGCUUGAGCCUGGGAGGUCAAGGCUGCAGUGAGCCAUGAUUGGCCCAUGGCACCCCAGCCUGGGUGACAGAGCAAGACCCUGAGGAAGGAAGGAAGGAAGGAAGGAAGGAGGGAGGGAGGGAGGGAGGGAGGGAGGGAAGGAAGAGAGAGAGAGAGAGAAAGAAAGAAAGAGAAAGAAAGGAAAGAAGGAAAGAAAGGAAAGGAGGAAGGAAGGAUGGAAGGACAGAAGGAAGGAAGGGAAAGAAAGAAAGAGGGAAGGAAGGAAGAAAGAAAAAGAAAAGCAAGGAAAGAAAGAAGGAAAGAAAAGAAAGAAAGGAAAGGAGGAAGGGAGGAAGGAAGGAUGGAAGGAAGGGAAAGAAAGAAGGAAGGAAGGAAGAAAGAAAGAAAAGAAAAGCAAGGAAAGAAAGGAAAGAAGGAAAGAAAAGAAAGAAAGGAAAGAAGGAAGGGAGGAAAGAAGGAAGGAAGGAAAGAAAAGAAAGGAAAGAAAGAAAGAAAAAAGAAAGAAGGAAGGAAGGAAAGAAAGAAAAAGAAAGAAAGAAAGAAA
Molecule: long non-coding RNA, 4882 nt
Filed under: Homo sapiens (human)
Lineage: Eukaryota; Metazoa; Chordata; Mammalia; Primates; Hominidae
Description: non-protein coding lnc-SPARCL1-1:5
Source: RNAcentral